UACGAAGGGGGCGAGCGUUGUUCGGAGUUACUAGGCGUAAAGGGCGCGUAGGCGGCGAUCCAAGUUAGGCGUGAAAGCCCCGGGCUUAACCUGGGAAUUGCGCUUAAGACUGGACUGCUUGAGUGCGGGAGAGGUGAGUGGAAUUCCCAGUGUAGAGGUGAAAUUCGUAGAUAUUGGGAAGAACACCAGUGGCGAAGGCGGCUCACUGGCCCGCAACUGACGCUGAGGCGCGAAAGCGUGGGGAGCAAACAGG
Molecule: ribosomal RNA, 253 nt
Filed under: uncultured bacterium
Lineage: Bacteria
Description: partial 16S ribosomal RNA
Rfam family: Bacterial small subunit ribosomal RNA
Source: RNAcentral